UAACCCGGCGAAAGUCGGACUAAUACCGUAUGAUAUCCUAUGCAGGCANUCUAACUAGGAUUAAAGGUUUAGCGGUAAGGGAUGGGGAUGCGUCUGAUUAGGCAGUUGGCGGGGUAACGGCCCACCAAACCGACGAUCAGUAGGGGUUCUGAGAGGAAGGUCCCCCACAUUGGAACUGAGACACGGUCCAAACUCCUACGGGAGGCAGCAGUC
RNAcentral lists this ribosomal RNA (213 nucleotides) under uncultured Prevotella sp. RNAcentral describes it as "partial 16S ribosomal RNA". It matches the Rfam family "Bacterial small subunit ribosomal RNA", at positions 144 to 355 of the family's 1533-position model. The record is from RNAcentral. Lineage: Bacteria; Pseudomonadati; Bacteroidota; Bacteroidia; Bacteroidales; Prevotellaceae.